This is a long non-coding RNA of Oryzias melastigma (Indian medaka), 679 nucleotides long. RefSeq lists it as uncharacterized. NCBI's taxonomy places the organism in Eukaryota, Metazoa, Chordata, Actinopteri, Beloniformes, Adrianichthyidae. The record is from RefSeq and is a predicted model, not a curated record. The transcript has 2 exons.
UUUCCGAUUGAAAUUCCUCCUUUAAACUUUGUUCAUCCCUAUUUGCUCUUAAUUUCAGGAGAAUCUUCUCCAAAAGUUUCCACUCCGUUUCCCUCCUUCAGCUUCGUGGUCGUUUCUCUGGUUAACCAUCAGUGAGGCGACCUUGACCGUCCAGACUCCAUCAGAGUCAAAGAGCCCCGCCCACCCAUAACCACACUGAGGGAGGCUCACAGUGACACCAGUGUGGGUGCAGCGUCCUGCAACACGGAAUCAAACCUGGGACUUUCAGACCAGAGGCUGACCGCUCUACUUCUGCACCACAACAAUAAAAACGUCCUAAAUUCAGACAUUUUUUAAUUAAUUAAGAGUUAAAAGUCACACAAGUUUGUGAGUAGCUUCAUGCUAACGACCAAAACUCAAAGUUCAGAGUUUGUUGUUUGGAACGUAGGGUAGAACUAUGUCGCCAAAGAAUGUAAACGAACACACAAAAAAAAUUAAAUAGAAUAAGAGCAUUAAAAACAAAGAAGGAAACAAAGAAAAAAAAUCAGAAAUAAGUGGACAGUAAUGUGGUGACCAGCAGAGACCGACGACGGUUUACAGGACGCUGUGAUGCUAACACGUCUGCUCACAGGUCAUUACAACAGAGAACAGGAGUUAAGAAUAAAGUUAUGAGGAGAAAGUAAAAAUAAAACCUAACAAA